Molecule: long non-coding RNA, 1090 nt
Organism: Paramormyrops kingsleyae
Lineage: Eukaryota; Metazoa; Chordata; Actinopteri; Osteoglossiformes; Mormyridae
Source: RefSeq, a predicted model, not a curated record
UCGCGAGUAGACGGGGCGCUCAGUCAGGCUGUGUGUGAGCAGGCAAAUCCCAGCGCGGUCCUCAGCAGCACUCUCUGGGCGUGAGCAGCCUCGCCGGCGAAUGCAGAUGACAGCUGGUGCGGAGAGCUACCGCGUCAGCGGGCGGGAGACGGGGAAAAUGGGCACCGAGUCUUGCACGGGGGCUUCAGCACGGACGAGUUGAUCCACACGGAGUUUGCAUCGACCAGAGCAUCAGACCCACCUGCAGCAGCAUGUUAGCUGGAUCCCACACGUAUGGAUGUUGUGUUUAUAUACAUGUGAGCAUGAAAUCAUAUUCAUAGGAGAUAUUGAAAAAAUGGGUGUGUGAUGAAUAGGGGAGCCUGGUGCCCCCUAGUGUGCGGGUGUGGUUAUAGCACAUGAAGUGCCACUGAGUUGGAAAGCAGGAUGAGGUAGUAGCAUGUUUGUGGCGUAAGGAGCUGUGGAAACGUCUGUUUAGAAAUGUGAAUAGAGAGCCCCUGACUGACAGGGCUUCCCUUAAUCGCCUGGAGCGACACGCAAACGGGGCGGGGAAGCGGGGGUCACAUAAGGCCAAUUUCUGCCACAGGUAUGGGGGACUUCACUGACUGAAGGAGCUGCAUUCCUAAUCUUCAAGACACCCUCCCCCUGACAAAAAAACGCUCUUGGACACCACAAGGAGUGCCGACGGCACCUCGCCGGCUCUGAGGAUUCCCAUUCAUCCAGACCUUCCCAUUCAUCCAUCACAGGAAGUCACUUUUAUGAUAAGUCGGCCUUAUCGGGGCCCAUUGGAGUUGUGGUCUGCGGGGCGGCGUUAUCCGAGAAGAGCUCCGCGGCCUUUCCGCUGUCUGUCUGCGCUCAGCUCGUGUUUUCAGGCCCGAUAAUGACAUGCUGAUGGCCUAGUAAAUGAAGAUGUGUCUCACGGACGACCGCGGCACGGGGCAGCAGUGGCAGGCCGGGCAAUCACAUGCCACGCUGUGGCUCAUCGGCUCGCUAUGCCGUUAUGUCAUAACUAGUCUCCAGGAGCUAAUCUCUGUCUCCACAUCUCAUGGUGUCCCACAACCCCCCCCAUCCCCCCCCACCCCGCGUAUGGAAA